AUUGAACGCUGGCGGAAUGCUUUACACAUGCGAGUCGAACGGCAGCACGGGGGCAGCCCUGGUGGCGAGUGGCGAACGGGUGAGUAAUACAUCGGAACGUGCCCGGUCGUGGGGGAUAACGUAGCGAAAGUUACGCUAAUACCGCAUACGAUCUGAGGAUGAAAGCGGGGGACCUUCGGGCCUCGCGCGAUCGGAGCGGCCGAUGUCAGAUUAGGUAGUUGGUGGGGUAAAGGCCUACCAAGCCGACGAUCUGUAGCUGGUCUGAGAGGACGACCAGCCACACUGGGACUGAGACACGGCCCAGACUCCUACGGGAGGCAGCAGUGGGGAAUUUUGGACAAUGGGCGCAAGCCUGAUCCAGCCAUUUCGCGUGCAGGACGAAGGCCUUCGGGUUGUAAACUGCUUUUGUACGGAACGAAAAGGCUCUGGCUAAUACCUGGGGCUCAUGACGGUACCGUAAGAAUAAGCACCGGCUAACUACGUG
Molecule: ribosomal RNA, 484 nt
Filed under: uncultured bacterium
Lineage: Bacteria
Description: partial 16S ribosomal RNA
Rfam family: Bacterial small subunit ribosomal RNA
Source: RNAcentral